This is a non-coding RNA of Lolium perenne, 2400 nucleotides long. The record is from RefSeq and is a predicted model, not a curated record. Lineage: Eukaryota; Viridiplantae; Streptophyta; Magnoliopsida; Poales; Poaceae.
GUUCCGGAAUGUAAGACGUUGGGAGUUCCACGGCCAACUUUUUUUGCGCUACGAACUAUUACAACUUUCCCGUUUUGCCCCUCGUCGCGUCUCGUCCGGUACUCCGGUCGUCCCACUCGCCCACUCGUGUAGCACACUCACCCGCUCCGCCGCCGCACCCCACGCCAUCGGUGCCCUCUUCCUCGCGCGCGUCGGCGCCGCCCCUCUUCCUCGCGCGCGAAGCUGCCGCCCCCUCUUUCUCGCACAUCCUCGCCUCUCCCAUGAUAUCCAACAAGGUGGAGCUGAAACUUGAGCUUUUACCCCUCCGGUGGUCCGAUCUGCAGUUGCGGGGCUCGAUCUGUCGAGCCAGCGUAAAGGUGGAUCUGUAGCCAUGGUGGUGGUGGUGCGGAGCUCCAUUCGUAGCAGGAGAAGACCUCCCAAAUCUUUGCAAAGGCAAGGAGGCCGGCACUGGGCUUCGGCGGCGCCACUGUCCUCGUCGUCCCCGCCUGUGUCAGCGGCUGUCGGCGGAGGCAGGGCAGAGACCGACACCUCGGCGCCGUUCGAUUCGGUGCGAGAGGCCGUCGACCGCUUCAGUGGCAGCGCCGCCUGGAGCUCCCACCUCGUCGGCCGCAUCUUCGCGCACCACAAGAAACAGGACCAGCGUGUGGUGGGGACUGAAGAGAACGAGCAAUGCAUCAGCCUGGAGGAGCAGACCGCGCAGCUAGAGAAGGAGCUCAGGGUCAAAGAAAGGGAGAUGCUCGAUGUGCUCUAGGAACUGGAGUCGGCCAAGAGGGUUAUCGCGGAUUAGAAGCUCAAUAUACACAAGAAAACAAUUGAGACACUGCAACCUGUAGAACCUGACGAGAAGCAGUAGCCUGAGGAUAACAACUGCUCUAUCGCUGAAUUGCCCACGACAGAACCUGAAGAGGAGAAGCUGUCUGCGGGAAAUGCUGAAGCUGAUGUGGAGAUGUGUGGCGGUCUCGACGAACACUCACAGCAGCAGCACCCUGACUCGGUUCUCAUGGAGCUCGAGCGGGCAAAGUCAAACCUGAACAGAACCACGAUUACUGGACUAGUAACCACAAAAGCUGAUGUCUUCAGCUGUGGUGUCAUUUUGAUGGAGCUGGUCACCGGACGGAGGGCGCUUGAUGACACGCAGCCUGAGGAUAGCAUGCACCUAGUUACAUGGUUCCGGAGAAUGACCUUGACGAGGAGACCUUUGCCAGCGUUAGCACCGUCGCACAGCUGGCCGGUCACUGCUGUGCUAGGGAACCACAACAGAGGCCUGAUAUGGGUUUGGCACUGUCUACAAGGGCGAGCUUCACGGUGGGAUAAAAAUCGCUGUCAAGCGAAUGGAGUUUGGUGUUAUGGGAAACAAGGGGCUGAAUGAGUUCAAAUCAGAGAUAUCUCUGCCGACCAAGCUCCGUCAUCGGAAUCUGGUGUCGCUGCUCCUUGAUGGUAAUGAGAGGAUUCUUGUAUAUGAGUACAUGCCACAUGGGCCGGUCAGUCAACAUCUGUUUGAGUGGAAAGAACACAAUUCACAGCCCUUGGAAUGGAAGAAACGACUGAGCACUGCCCUUGAUGUUGCGAGAGGUGUUGAGUACCUGCACAGCCUUGCACUGUCAAUCAGUGGAAGUGUGUAUCAGUGGAGACAAGACUUGCUGGCACUUUCGGAUACCUUGCCCCGGGGUAUGCAGGUGGACUAAAAUUGAUAUCUGGAAGCACCAUUCUUCUUCAGGCGCGAGGUCAACGACCUUGGGACGCGGCGAUGAGCGAGGAAGUAGUGCUUUGCCUGGCGUCCUUGUGACCUCCUUCCCCUGGCGCCUCUUUUUUUUCGAUAAAGGGCGCUUUCAUUCUUCCCCUGGCGCCUCUUGGUGACCUCCAGGCCUGGCAACUGGCUUCUGGCUAGGGGACGGCGGCGGGCUUCCAGGAACUGCAGCAGCCGACAAGCUGGGCGACGCACCAGUGGAUCGAUCGAGCGAUCGGAGCUGGAGUGCAGCUUGGCGACGAACCAGUGGAUGAUCGGACCUGGACCGGGAGUACAGCUGGGCGAGGAGACAGGGGAUUGAUCCCCGGACCUGGAGUACAACUGGGCGACGAGAUAGGGGAUCGAUCGGGAUCGGUCGGAGCUGGACGCGAAGGCGUGGAUCGGGAUUGAUUGGAGCUCCUGGAUCGAUUUCUCCUGUGGAGGAGCUGCCUGGGGGAGAAGAUGGCCGGGGUGGAUCGAUUCCGGUGGGGAGGAGCUGCCUGGGAGGAGGAGAUGGCCGGGGUGGAUCGAUUCCGGUGGGGACGAUGGGGAAAUCGAGAUCGAGAUCGAGAUCGGGAAAUCGACAGGGGUAUCGAUGUCUUUUUACAACUUUUUCACCUGGUCGGAAAACCUCCCCAGCGUCUUAUAUUUCUGCACGGAGGGAGUAGUUGUUG